This is an RNA transcript of Bicyclus anynana (squinting bush brown), 3404 nucleotides long. RefSeq lists it as uncharacterized. The record is from RefSeq and is a predicted model, not a curated record. NCBI's taxonomy places the organism in Eukaryota, Metazoa, Arthropoda, Insecta, Lepidoptera, Nymphalidae. The transcript is spliced from 8 exons.
CAGAAAUAAAUAAAUAAACAAAACAAACAGACUGAAACAGACCAAACCAAACAGUAUUGUUCAAAUCAAAAUUUAGCCGUUUGGUUUAAAAAUUCAAAAUUUCUAAAAGUAUUUUUUGUGGUUCAUAUUCAGAUGUUCAAUGAUAUAAUAGCUUCAUUAAUUCCCCUUUAAAAUAAUUUACACUUUAUGAUUGUGUCAUUUCAUUUGUCUUCUGCAAAAUUGUGAAUGUUAGUAUUGGAUAAAAAAUUAAAAAUAUACACUUCCUGUAAACUAAACCGUACAAAACACAUUACAAUAAAUAGAAAGUCUAAAAGUAUCAUUGAAUCUAAACAAAGGUAACGGUAUCAUAAUGUUAAAUACCACGUGAAACGUGAAUUUUAGGUAUUCCCUCUUAAGAACUAAGAAGUGAAGCAGAUUACAUUUUACAGUGAGCCAAAGAGCAGUAUCAGAGAUCAAUUGUAUUUGUGACGAAGAAGCAAUAAUGCAGUGCUGUGUGCCUUUUUGCGAAAAUACAUCAGACAAUGUGUCAACAUCAGAGAACAUUACCUUUUAUGGAUUACCCAGGGAAGGAAAUCUCUGUACUGCUUUGCUCAGAGCCCUCAGCAUAGAAGACCAUCACCUGCCCGACACUGCUGUGGUCUGCUCCCAGCACUUCUUAGAUGAUGACUUCCUUAAUACAAACACUAGUGUGAAGGAGAUCCACUCUAAUGCUGUUCCGUCAACAGUGCAGAUGUGCAUGAUAUGCCUGGACACUGACAGCAAGCUGACUCUAAUGAGCAAACAUAAGUUGGAGGAGGCAUAUGAACAGCUAACUGGACUGUCUUUGUUUCAGUUGUGUUGUCAAGCAAACCUGAAGCAAACACUCUGUGUGCUGUGUGCUCAAAAAUUGAUGAACUUCAAUAGAUUUAGAGACUUGAGCUUGAGAGCCCAUUCACUGAUGACAGACUUAGUUGGACAACAUGAAUUAAAUACUAUAAAACACAAAGAAUUGCUGAACUGCACAACUGCACAUCUGAAGUGUAAUUUGACACAAACAACAUUAGGAGUUAACCAUUGUGACUUGUACAUAGAUCACACUGAUGAAGAAAAACAGACAGCAGCAGAGGAAACUGUAGUGGGAGGUGUUGCAACAGUUGCGGUGAAAAAUGAAGGCAGUUCUGACUCCAUAUCAAGUACUGAUAACUUGGAAAUGUCACAAAAAGAUGACAAUCACAGAGACAAUUCCAACAAUGACUGUGCCUUUGAUGAUGAAUACUCUGACAGGAACAUAGAGUUAGAGUCAAGGCUACUGGAUGAAGCUAUAAGUGAAGCUAAUUGUUGGAAAGCAGCAGAACAUGUGGCCUCAACACAGAGUUUGAUCAAGAGUGAAAGUGCUAUCUUGGAAUGUGCAUUUUGUUUUGCAGACUUUGUGCAAGAGCCUGCAUACAAGGAACACAUGAAACGCUGGCAGCGACACUCCAUGUGCAUCACAAGUGUGGGAGCUUCGUGCAGCUGUGAGCCGCAGCUGUGACUCAUUUAUGCUGCAGAACAAAACAGGAAGUCUGAGGCUGAAUGAUGUCCCUCUCCCGGCUGCAGACUGCGCUUAAGCUUUAGUCGCUCCACUGUUCGCGAGACUUGCUGCAAGUAACGAGAACAAAGUGCAGGCAACUGAAGAAGCACCUUCUAUUCAGAAAAGUGAACAAAUCCUUCUAACUAACAAUGGCGAACUGGACAAUCGAUCAUCAUCAGAUACAAAUAGAUUCACAAAUUGUGUAGUCCUGUUACACGAUAUAUUCAAGAAACCCAAGAAAGUUGUACUUGGUGAGAAUCAACACGUGAGACCUUACUCUUGUGAGAUAUGCAACUAUAAAUGUGUACGAAAAAGGGAUAUAAAUAAGCACAAGAAAACUCACACUGAUGAAAAGCCAUUUUCCUGUGAGAUUUGCAAUUAUAAAUCUGCAUAUAAAGGUAAUUUAUUACAGCAUAUUAAAACCCACACUGGUGAGAAGCCAUUUUCCUGUGAGAUAUGCAAAUAUAAAUGUACACAAAAACAUCAAUUAUUAGAACACAAGAUGAGGCACACUGGUGAAAAGCCAUUUUCCUGUGACAAAUGUAAUUAUAAAUGUGCACGAAAACAUCAAUUAUUACAACACAAGAUGAACCACACUGGUGAAAAGCCAUUUUCAUGUGAGAUAUGCAAAUAUAAAUUUGCACGAAAAGGUCAUUUAUUACGGCAUAUUAAAACACACACUGGUGAAAAGCCAUUUUCCUGUGAGAUAUGCAAUUAUAAAUGUGCACAAAAAGAUCAAUUAUUACAACACAAGAUGAACCACUCUGGUGAAAAGCCAUUUUCCUGUGAGAUUUGCAAACGUAAAUUUGCACGAAAAAGUCAUUUAUUACAGCAUAUUAAAACCCACUCUGGUGUAAAGCCAUUUUCCUGUGAGAUAUGUAAUUAUAAAUGUGCACUAAAAAAUCAAUUAUUACAACACAAGAUGAACCACACUGGGGAUAAACCAUUUACCUGUGACAUAUGCAAACGUAAAUUUGCACGAAAAACUCAUUUAUUACUGCAUAUUAAAACUCACACUGGUGAAAAACCACUUUCCUGUGAGAUUUAAGUGUGCAAUUAAUAGUAAUUUAUUACGGCAUAUUAAAACGCACACUCAUGAAAAGCCAUUUUCCUGUGAGAUGUGAAUUGCAAAUUUGCGUUAAAAAGUUAUUUAUUACAGCAUAUUAGAACAUACACUGGUGAGAAGCCAUUUUCCUGUGAGAUAUGCAAUUAUAAAUGUGCACAAAAAAGUAGUUUAUUAAGACACACAAUGACCCACACUGAUGAAAAGCCAUUUUCCUGCGAGAUAUGCAAUUAUAAAUGUAAACAAAAAAGCAAGUUUUUAAUACAUAUGCGAACCCACAGGCCACAAGAGCGAUAGGCUAGUUGACACUUUUUUUAAAUGGUCAUAAAUAGUUCAUUAUCGUUCUAGACUAGACUGAAGAAAUAUUUUUCAUAUUUUUUUAAAGACUUGAUUACAUGAAAAUUUUAGUUUUUAAAUAUGUUUUUGACAAUACGAGCCAAAACGCCUGUCGGCCAUGACGGUCUAUAUUUCAACUGUUUCAUGACGUCACUAUAAUAAAUCCCUUACAAACGGAGCGUAUACCAAAAAUAUUAGCUAACAAUUAGUUCGACGUUUAGGACAUCACGUGUUAGUGACGUCACAAAACGUUUGGAAAAUUUGAAAAAAUACGUGAUAUUUAAAUUAAGCUCUUUAAAAAAAUUUUAACUUUUAUUAAUAGAUAUCGAUAUAUUUUGGACCCUUAUUUCACCAAAUUAAUAUAGUUUAUAUUAAAUUUGAUAUCCUAAGGUUGCCUGGUGAGGAUCGCUACUAAGAGAUAAGAACAAUAUUAUCUAUUAAUAAAAAAUACACGUU